RNAcentral lists this ribosomal RNA (497 nucleotides) under uncultured bacterium. Its description in RNAcentral is "partial 16S ribosomal RNA". It matches the Rfam family "Bacterial small subunit ribosomal RNA", at positions 28 to 507 of the family's 1533-position model. The record is from RNAcentral.
GAUGAACGCUGGCGGCGUGCCUAAUACAUGCAAGUCGAGCGAACAGACGAGGAGCUUGCUCCUCUGACGUUAGCGGCGGACGGGUGAGUAACACGUGGAUAACCUACCUAUAAGACUGGGAUAACUUCGGGAAACCGGAGCUAAUACCGGAUAAUAUAUUGAACCGCAUGGUUCAAUAGUGAAAGACGGUUUUGCUGUCACUUAUAGAUGGAUCCGCGCCGCAUUAGCUAGUUGGUAAGGUAACGGCUUACCAAGGCGACGAUGCGUAGCCGACCUGAGAGGGUGAUCGGCCACACUGGAACUGAGACACGGUCCAGACUCCUACGGGAGGCAGCAGUAGGGAAUCUUCCGCAAUGGGCGAAAGCUUGACGGAGCAACGCCGCGUGAGUGAUGAAGGUCUUCGGAUCGUAAAACUCUGUUAUUAGGGAGGAACAAGUGUGUAAGUAACUAUGCGCGUCUUGACGGUACCUAAUCAGAAAACCACGGCUAACUACGUG